GGAGCUAACGCGUUAAGUCGACCGCCUGGGGAGUACGGCCGCAAGGUUAAAACUCAAAUGAAUUGACGGGGGCCCGCACAAGCGGUGGAGCAUGUGGUUUAAUUCGAUGCAACGCGAAGAACCUUACCUGGUCUUGACAUAGUAAGAACUUUCCAGAGAUGGAUUGGUGCCUUCGGGAACCGUGAGACAGGUGCUGCAUGGCUGUCGUCAGCUCGUGUCGUGAGAUGUUGGGUUAAGCCCCGCAACGAGCGCAACCCUCGUUCUAUGUUGCCAGCACGUGAUGGUGGGGACUCAUAGGAGACUGCCGGGGUCAACUCGGAGGAAGGUGGGGAUGACGUCAA
Molecule: ribosomal RNA, 341 nt
Filed under: Aurantiochytrium limacinum
Lineage: Eukaryota; Bigyra; Thraustochytrida; Thraustochytriidae
Description: partial Bacterial small subunit ribosomal RNA
Rfam family: Bacterial small subunit ribosomal RNA
Source: RNAcentral